This 71-nucleotide transfer RNA is filed under the name Laccaria bicolor S238N-H82. Its description in RNAcentral is "tRNA-Gln (CTG) (tRNA-Gln-CTG-4-1)". It matches the Rfam family "tRNA". From Rfam's summary of the family: Transfer RNA (tRNA) molecules are approximately 80 nucleotides in length. Their secondary structure includes four short double-helical elements and three loops (D, anti-codon, and T loops). The record is from RNAcentral. Lineage: Eukaryota; Fungi; Basidiomycota; Agaricomycetes; Agaricales; Hydnangiaceae.
GGGCAGAUGGUGUAAUGGUAACACUCCAAAAUCUGGUUUUGGAGAUGGAGGUUCGAAUCCUUCUCUGCGCA